GUGGGGAAUCUUAGACAAUGGGGGCAACCCUGAUCUAGCCAUGCCGCGCGAGUGAUGAAGGCCUUAGGGUUGUAAAGCUCUUUCAGUGGGGAAGAUAAUGACGGUACCCACAGAAGAAGCCCCGGCUAACUCCGUGCCAGCAGCCGCGGUAAUACGGAGGGGGCUAGCGUUGUUCGGAAUUACUGGGCGUAAAGCGCACGUAGGCGGAUCGGAAAGUUGGGGGUGAAAUCCCAGGGCUCAACCCUGGAACUGCCUUCAAAACUAUCGGUCUGGAGUCCGAGAGAGGUGAGUGGAAUUCCGAGUGUAGAGGUGAAAUUCGUAGAUAUUCGGAGGAACACCAGUGGCGAAGGCGGCUCACUGGCUCGGUACUGACGCUGAGGUGCGAAAGCGUGGGGAGCAAACAGGAUUAGAAACCCUAGUAGUCC
RNAcentral lists this ribosomal RNA (425 nucleotides) under uncultured bacterium. RNAcentral's name for it is "partial 16S ribosomal RNA". It matches the Rfam family "Bacterial small subunit ribosomal RNA", at positions 354 to 796 of the family's 1533-position model. The record is from RNAcentral.